UAACUUUGCCAUGUUAAUUUACUCUAAAUUUGGGGGCUUUUCUUCUUUUUUGUAGCUGUUGUUUCUGAAACACCAAACUCAUCUCAGGAUGCCUUCCAACUUAGCAAACUGGGAGGAAAGGAUGAAAAAAAUCGUCAACUUCAAAAACACUCAACAGGCUCCCAGGAUGGUCCUGUGAGCGUUCCCAGCAGCAGUGACAGCAGGGAGGACCCACUCCACAAAGCUCUAAAGAAGAAGAGCAUCAAGUCCUCCACUGGUCGUUUGUUUGGCAAAAAGGAAAAGGGUCCGCCUGGACAAACUGGCAAAGAAUCACCAAGACAAGGUGGGCCGGUUUUAGGCAGCUGUCCUAACUGCUGGGAUUGGGAGAGCAUGCGCUUUUUCCUAUGUACCUGCCACAGGUGUCCAGUGCCCACAAGGAAUCAUGGCUGAGCAUUCUCCAGACAGCCCAGUCUGCCCACAUGUGAACCAGAGCAGAGCAGUGGACAUUCAUUUGGCGUGAAUGAAUAACCCUCUUAUAUGCUAAUUUAUACGCUUGAACAUUUAUAUGUGUUUGCUCGGAAGCUUACCCUUCAGAAAUUAUUCAGCUCUCUACCUGCAGAAUCUUCUUCCUAUUUGUGAAACAUAUAACUUUGCCAUGUUAAUUUACUCUAAAUUUGGUGAAUUUUCUUCUUUUUUGUAGCUGUUGUUUCUGAAGCCGAAAACUCAUCUCAGGAUGCCUUCCAACUUAGCAAAUUGGGAGGAAAGGAUGAAAAAAAUCGUCAACUUCAAAAACACUCAACAGGCUCCCAGGAAGGUCCUGUGAACAAUCCCAGUACCAGUGACAGCAGGCAGGACGCGCUCCACAAAGCCCCAAAGAAGAAGAGCAUCAAGUCCUCCACUGGUCGUUUGUUUGGCAAAAAGAAAAAGGUUCUGCCUGGACAAACUGGCAAAGAAUCACCAAGACAAGGUGGGCCGGUUUUAGGCAGCUGUGCUAACUGCUGGGAUUUGGAGAGCAUGAGCUUUUUCCUAUGUACCUGCCACAGGUGUCCAGUGCCCACAAGGAAUCAUGGCUGAGCAUUCUCCAGACAGCCCAGUCUGCCCACAUGUGAACCAGAGCAGAGCAGUGGACAUUCAUUUGGCGUGAAUGAAUAACCCUCUUAUAUGCUAAUUUAUACGCUUGAACAUUUAUAUGUGUUUGCUCGGAAGCUUACACUUCAGAAAUGAUUCAGCUCUCUACCUGCAGAAUCUUCUUCCUAUUUGUGAAACAUAUAACUUUGCCAUGUUAAUUUACUCUAAAUUUGGUGAAUUUUCUUCUUUUUUGUAGCUGUUGUUUCUGAAACAGAAAACUCAUCUCAGGAUGCCUUCCAACUUAGCAAAUUGGGAGGAAAGGAUGAAAAAAAUCAUCAACUUCAAAAACAGUAAA
This is a long non-coding RNA of Cavia porcellus (domestic guinea pig), 1402 nucleotides long. RefSeq lists it as uncharacterized. The record is from RefSeq and is a predicted model, not a curated record. Lineage: Eukaryota; Metazoa; Chordata; Mammalia; Rodentia; Caviidae. The transcript is spliced from 3 exons.